GACGAACGCUGGCGGCGUGCUUAACACAUGCAAGUCGAACGGAAAGGCCCUGCUGUUGUGGGGUGCUCGAGUGGCGAACGGGUGAGUAACACGUGAGUAACCUGCCCUUGACUUUGGGAUAACUUCAGGAAACUGGGGCUAAUACCGGAUAGGAGCUCCUGCUGCAUGGUGGGGGUUGGAAAGUUUCGGCGGUUGGGGAUGGACUCGCGGCUGAUCGGCUUGUUGGUGGGGUAGUGGCUUACCAAGGCUUUGACGGGUAGCCGGCCUGAGAGGGUGACCGGCCACAUUGGGACUGAGAUACGGCCCAGACUCCUACGGGAGGCAGCAGUGGGGAAUAGUGCACAAUGGGCGGAAGCCUGAUGCAGCAACGCCGCGUGCGGGAUGACGGCCUUCGGGUUGUAAACCGCUUUCGCCUGUGACGAAGCGUGAGUGACGGUAAUGGGUAAAGAAGCACCGGCUAACUACGUG
RNAcentral lists this ribosomal RNA (468 nucleotides) under uncultured bacterium. RNAcentral's name for it is "partial 16S ribosomal RNA". It matches the Rfam family "Bacterial small subunit ribosomal RNA", at positions 28 to 507 of the family's 1533-position model. The record is from RNAcentral.